GCACCGGUAAUUUAGUGGUAGAAUGCCGGCUUGCCAAGCCGGUAGCCCGGGUUCAAAUCCCGGCCGGUGCA
This 71-nucleotide transfer RNA is filed under the name Nautiliaceae bacterium. Its description in RNAcentral is "tRNA-Gly". It matches the Rfam family "tRNA". Rfam says of the family: Transfer RNA (tRNA) molecules are approximately 80 nucleotides in length. Lineage: Bacteria; Pseudomonadati; Campylobacterota; Epsilonproteobacteria; Nautiliales; Nautiliaceae. The record is from RNAcentral.